CGGGUGUGAAAUCCGCCCAGACUCUGCUCUGUGACUGAUGGAAACCCACAGGCUUCCUGUAAUACACUGGGAUCAGGAUGGUUCUCAGGGAUCUUCCUGACCCAGGGAUCGAACCCAGGUCUCCUGCAUUGCAGGCAGACACUUUACCGUCUGAGCCACCAGGGAAGCCAUGCAAAUCUGAAGCUCUAACACAUAAG
RNAcentral lists this long non-coding RNA (197 nucleotides) under Capra hircus (goat). Its description in RNAcentral is "lncRNA (ENSCHIG00000001587.1)". Lineage: Eukaryota; Metazoa; Chordata; Mammalia; Artiodactyla; Bovidae. The record is from RNAcentral.